UAUCUUAGCGGCGGACGGGUGAGUAAUGCUUAGGAAUCUGCCUCAUUAGUGGGGGACAACAUUUCGAAAGGAAUGCUAAUACCGCAUACGCCCUACGGGGGAAAGCAGGGGAUCUUCGGACCUUGCGCUAAUAGAUGAGCCUAAGUCGGAUUAGCUAGUUGGUGGGGUAAAGGCCUACCAAGGCGACGAUCUGUAGCGGGUCUGAGAGGAUGAUCCGCCACACUGGGACUGAGACACGGCCCAGACUCCUACGGGAGGCAGCAGUGGGGAAUAUUGGACAAUGGGGGGAACCCUGAUCCAGCCAUGCCGCGUGUGUGAAGAAGGCCUUUUGGUUGUAAAGCACUUUAAGCGAGGAGGAGGAGCUCUAGAUUAAUACUCUAGAUGCUUGGACGUUACUCGCAGAAUAAGCACCGGCUAACUCUGUG
This 425-nucleotide ribosomal RNA is filed under the name uncultured bacterium. RNAcentral's name for it is "bacterial SSU rRNA". It matches the Rfam family "Bacterial small subunit ribosomal RNA", at positions 88 to 507 of the family's 1533-position model. The record is from RNAcentral.